Macaca mulatta (Rhesus monkey) is the source of this 308-nucleotide non-coding RNA. The record is from RefSeq and is a predicted model, not a curated record. Lineage: Eukaryota; Metazoa; Chordata; Mammalia; Primates; Cercopithecidae.
GGAAAAAGCACCAUCCAAUUAUGCCUUCCAAUGGAAGUGUAGCCCCCAGGCUUCAAGCCCUCUCUGGCUUAAAGGUGUGGUUUCACCAGGGUCCUGCCCCUUCCCGCCUAGGAACCUGUUGCCUUCCAGUGUCAUCAACAUGCAGGCUAUAAACACACGGAUUUAUUUAAAAGCCUACAAGCACUACAGAGGAGGGCAGAGCGUUGUUACCCAGAGAUACCUACCCAGAUGGGAAUCAGAAAAGCCUUCCUUGAGGAAGCAGCAUUUUCAUCUUUGAACUAUUUUUAAAAAUUUAAUUUAAUUUUAAA